UGGUGAAAAGGGUAAACUUAUCGAAAGAUAAGGACACAAAGCCAUGGGUCUACGGAAUGGUGUCCAGUGGUCAUUAUUCUAUGAUUGCCAGGCUGCCGAA
RNAcentral lists this non-coding RNA (100 nucleotides) under Thermincola carboxydiphila JR. RNAcentral's name for it is "Thermincola potens JR c-di-GMP-I riboswitch aptamer". It matches the Rfam family "c-di-GMP-I riboswitch aptamer". Rfam says of the family: GEMM was predicted in a large-scale screen for bacterial structured RNA regulatory elements. Genes associated with GEMM are involved in a diverse array of functions, including chemotaxis regulation, signal transduction, secretion and chitin. RNAcentral also lists the same sequence under 1 other name. Lineage: Bacteria; Bacillati; Bacillota; Clostridia; Eubacteriales; Thermincolaceae. The record is from Rfam by way of RNAcentral.